This 250-nucleotide ribosomal RNA is filed under the name uncultured bacterium. RNAcentral describes it as "partial 16S ribosomal RNA". It matches the Rfam family "Bacterial small subunit ribosomal RNA", at positions 524 to 773 of the family's 1533-position model. The record is from RNAcentral.
UACGGAGGGGGCUAGCGUUGUUCGGAAUUACUGGGCGUAAAGCGCACGUAGGCGGCGCGACAAGUCAGAGGUGAAAGGCCUGGGCUCAACCUAGGAACUGCCUUUGAAACUGGCGUGCUAGAGACCGGAAGAGGGUGACGGAAUUCCCAGUGUAGAGGUGAAAUUCGUAGAUAUUGGGAAGAACACCAGUGGCGAAGGCGGUCACCUGGUCCGGUACUGACGCUGAGGUGCGAAAGCGUGGGGAGCAAAC